CACACAGGUGGCCCUGACUUGCAACAGGGAAAUCACUCCCUUAACCACCAUUUCUUACUUGUACAUGGAUAAGUUAUGAGGUACCUUUGGCCAUCGUUUCUCAGAAGGCUCAAGAAGGCCUUCAACUUGGAAAGUACCAAUUCCAGCAAUCUGAGAAGCUGCUCCAGCACUCUGCUGGCCACACUAGCUCCCAGCCUUUCGUGAAGAGGGCAUCCAAGCCCUAACAUGUUCAGAGGAUCUGUUCGGCUUAAGUCCCAGCAACUUAAGGCUUGGAAGCAUCACAUAUGGAUCAUCAAGGAAAUUUUCUCUAUUGUUCACAGGCAUAAAGGAACAUAACCCUGUUAUGAACAAUGGCUUUACAAAUCACUGUGGCUUGUAUAAUUGAAUUUGAUCUGUUCAUGUAAACAAAGAGAGGCGGAAGAAGGAUAUUCUGAGAAAUCAAAGGAAUGAAUCAACCACGAGAACACAGCAACUGAGUAUUUCCCUUGAUAGUUGCAAGAACUCGGGACCAAUACACCUACAGCUGAAAGAAGGAAAGCCUGUGAAGCACUCUCUGUGGUUUACAGAAAUGUCCUCCAAAGAUCAGGGCAGAGGGAAAAUCCCUGUAAUAAGAAGGAAGCCGAUACACGCUGCAUCAACAGCAAAACCAGAGAAUACUGGGCAAAUCAAUAGCUCACGGACAGAUGGCAUAAAGGAAGGAAGAGAGUGAAAAUAACAAUGCCAUGCAAACCAGAAAGGACUUAAUGAUUUGUUUUGAAUCAGGUAAGCCCUUUAUACUGC
Neopsephotus bourkii (Bourke's parrot) is the source of this 780-nucleotide long non-coding RNA. RefSeq lists it as uncharacterized. NCBI's taxonomy places the organism in Eukaryota, Metazoa, Chordata, Aves, Psittaciformes, Psittacidae. The transcript is spliced from 3 exons. The record is from RefSeq and is a predicted model, not a curated record.